UACGGAGGGUGCGAGCGUUGUUCGGAUUUAUUGGGCGUAAAGCGCGUGUAGGCGGUUUCAUAAGUCUGAUGUGAAAGCCCCGGGCUCAACCUGGGAAGUGCAUUGGAUACUGUGAGACUUGAAUACAGGAGAGGGUAGUGGAAUUCCUAGUGUAGGAGUGAAAUCCGUAGAUAUUAGGAGGAACACCGGUGGCGAAGGCGGCUGCCUGGACCGAUAUUGACGCUGAGACGCGAAAGCGUGGGUAGCAAACAGG
Molecule: ribosomal RNA, 253 nt
Filed under: uncultured bacterium
Lineage: Bacteria
Description: partial 16S ribosomal RNA
Rfam family: Bacterial small subunit ribosomal RNA
Source: RNAcentral